AGAGUUUGAUCAUGGCUCAGAACGAACGCUGGCGGCGUGGAUAAGACAUGCAAGUCGAGCGCUGAUUCAAGGGUAGCAAUAUUCUUGAGUCGGAGCGGCGCAAGGGUGCGUAACACGUGGGUAAUUUGCCAUGAAGUCUGGAAUAACUUGCUGAAAGGCGAGCUAAUGCCGGAUGUGAUUUUCGGGAAGCAUUUCCUGAAACUCAAAGUUGGGGACCGUAAGGCCUGACGCUUCUUGAUAAGCCCGCGGCCUAUCAGCUAGUUGGUGAGGUAACGGCUCACCAAGGCUAAGACGGGUAGCUGGUCUGAGAGGACGACCAGCCACACUGGAACUGAGACACGGUCCAGACACCUACGGGUGGCAGCAGUCGAGAAUUUUUCUCAAUGGGCGAAAGCCUGAAGGAGCGACGCCGCGUGGGGGAUGAAUGGCUUCGGCCCGUAAACCCCUGUCAUUUGCGAACAAACCUUACCGGUUAACAACCGGUGAGCUGAUAGUAGCGGAAGAGGAAGGGACGGCUAACUCUGUGCCAGCAGCCGCGGUAAUACAGAGGUCCCAAGCGUUGUUCGGAUUCACUGGGCGUAAAGGGUGCGUAGGUGGUGAGGUAAGUCGGAUGUGAAAUCUCCGGGCUCAACCCGGAAAUGGCAUUGGAAACUACCUUGCUGGAGGAUUUGAGGGGGGAUUGGAAUACUUGGUGUAGCAGUGAAAUGCGUAGAUAUCAAGUGGAACACCAGUGGCGAAGGCGAAUCCCUGGAAAAUACCUGACGCUGAGGCACGAAAGCUAGGGGAGCAAACAGGAUUAGAUACCCUAGUAGUCC
RNAcentral lists this ribosomal RNA (815 nucleotides) under uncultured bacterium. RNAcentral describes it as "bacterial SSU rRNA". It matches the Rfam family "Bacterial small subunit ribosomal RNA", at positions 8 to 796 of the family's 1533-position model. The record is from RNAcentral.